CACAAUAACAUGUGGACUGCAACGAUUUUACAACUUAUGGGGUAAUUGCUGGUCUAGUUAUCAUAGCAGAAAGGUCUGUUUUAGUAGACUCAGGAAGCAACAUUUCUUUGAUGUUUACUCAGGCGAUUAUGACUACGAUGGCAGUGCUGUGAAAACUGUUUUGAAAAAUGGUCUAUACUAAAACGAAGAGUACAGAGUAUCAAGUUAAUUUAAAUGACAAUAAAAUUAUUUCAAUGUUGAA
Molecule: long non-coding RNA, 241 nt
Organism: Mytilus trossulus (common blue mussel)
Lineage: Eukaryota; Metazoa; Mollusca; Bivalvia; Mytilida; Mytilidae
Exons: 3
Source: RefSeq, a predicted model, not a curated record